GUGGGGAAUAUUGCACAAUGGGCGCAAGCCUGAUGCAGCAACGCCGCGUGAAGGAAGACGGUUUUCGGAUUGUAAACUUCUGUUCUUAGUGAAGAAAUUUGACGGUAGCUAAGGAGCAAGCCACGGCUAACUACGUGCCAGCAGCCGCGGUAAUACGUAGGUGGCAAGCGUUGUCCGGAAUUACUGGGUGUAAAGGGAGCGCAGGCGGGAAAGCAAGUCAGCUGUGAAAUCCAUGGGCUCAACCCAUGAACUGCAGUUGAAACUGUUUUUCUUGAGUGAAGUAGAGGUUGGCGGAAUUCCGAGUGUAGCGGUGAAAUGCGUAGAUAUUCGGAGGAACACCGGUGGCGAAGGCGGCCAACUGGGCUUUUACUGACGCUGAGGCUCGAAAGUGUGGGGAGCAAACAGGAUUAGAAACCCGAGUAGUCC
Molecule: ribosomal RNA, 426 nt
Filed under: uncultured Oscillospiraceae bacterium
Lineage: Bacteria; Bacillati; Bacillota; Clostridia; Eubacteriales; Oscillospiraceae
Description: bacterial SSU rRNA
Rfam family: Bacterial small subunit ribosomal RNA
Source: RNAcentral